RNAcentral lists this ribosomal RNA (275 nucleotides) under uncultured prokaryote. Its description in RNAcentral is "partial 16S ribosomal RNA". It matches the Rfam family "Bacterial small subunit ribosomal RNA", at positions 524 to 800 of the family's 1533-position model. The record is from RNAcentral.
UACGUAGGGGCGAGCGUUGUCCGGAUUUACUGGGCGUAAAGGGUGAGUAGGCGGUUAUAUAUGUCAGGUGUAAAAAGCUAUGGCUUAACCAUAGUAAGCACUUGAAACUGUAUGACUUGAGUGCAGGAGAGGUAAGCGGAAUUCCUAGUGUAGCGGUGAAAUGCGUAGAUAUUAGGAGGAACACCGGUGGCGAAGGCGGCUUACUGGGCUGUAACUGACGCUGAGUCACGAAAGCGUGGGUAGCAAACAGGAUUAGAUACCCCUGUAGUCCCUGA